GUCCCUCCAAAAUAGUUUUGAUAUUGAGA
This 29-nucleotide non-coding RNA is filed under the name Mus musculus (house mouse). Lineage: Eukaryota; Metazoa; Chordata; Mammalia; Rodentia; Muridae. The record is from RNAcentral.